AGUUACUCCCUCCUUCCCAUUUUAAGUGUGAUCAUCAUCCGUCUUAUUUAAAAUAUUUUUAUGAUUAGUAUUUUUAUUAUUGUUAGAUGAUAAAACCUGAAUAGUAAUAUGUGUGACUUAUUUUUUUUCAUAAAUCUUUUAAAUAAUACGGACGAUCAAAGGUUGGACACAGAAACUCACAAAUGCACUUAAA
This 193-nucleotide microRNA precursor is filed under the name Oryza sativa Indica Group (long-grained rice). RNAcentral's name for it is "MIR812 microRNA precursor family". It matches the Rfam family "MIR812 microRNA precursor family". Lineage: Eukaryota; Viridiplantae; Streptophyta; Magnoliopsida; Poales; Poaceae. The record is from Rfam by way of RNAcentral.